AAAUUGAAGAGUUUGAUCAUGGCUCAGAUUGAACGCUGGCGGCAGGCCUAACACAUGCAAGUCGAACGGUAACAGAAGUCAGCUUGCUGAUUUGCUGACGAGUGGCGGACGGGUGAGUAAUGUCUGGGAAACUACCUGAUGGAGGGGGAUAACUACUGGAAACGGUAGCUAAUACCGCAUAAUGUCGCAAGACCAAAGAGGGGGACCUUCGGGCCUCUUGCCAUCGGAUGUGCCCAGAUGGGAUUAGCUAGUAGGUGGGGUAACGGCUCACCUAGGCGACGAUCCCUAGCUGGUCUGAGAGGAUGACCAGCCACACUGGAACUGAGACACGGUCCAGACUCCUACGGGAGGCAGCAGUGGGGAAUAUUGCACAAUG
This 376-nucleotide ribosomal RNA is filed under the name Escherichia coli. RNAcentral describes it as "bacterial SSU rRNA". It matches the Rfam family "Bacterial small subunit ribosomal RNA", at positions 1 to 373 of the family's 1533-position model. The record is from RNAcentral. Lineage: Bacteria; Pseudomonadati; Pseudomonadota; Gammaproteobacteria; Enterobacterales; Enterobacteriaceae.